CCUACGGGAGGCAGCAGUGGGGAAUAUUGCACAAUGGGGGAAACCCUGAUGCAGCGACGCCGCGUGAGUGAAGAAGUAUUUCGGUAUGUAAAGCUCUAUCAGCAGGGAAGAAAAUGACGGUACCUGAUUAAGAAGCCCCGGCGAACUACGUGCCAGCAGCCGCGGGAAUACGUAGGGGGCAAGCGUUAUCCGGAUUUACUGGGUGUAAAGGGAGCGUAGACGGCAGCACAAGUCUGGAGUGAAAUGCCGGGGCUUAACCCCGGAACUGCUUUGGAAACUGUGCAGCUAGAGUGCAGGAGAGGUAAGUGGAAUUCCUAGUGUAGCGGUGAAAUGCGUAGAUAUUAGGAGGAACACCAGUGGCGAAGGCGGCUUACUGGACUGUAACUGACGUUGAGGCUCGAAAGCGUGGGGAGCAAACAGGAUUAGAUACCCCAGUAGUC
RNAcentral lists this ribosomal RNA (440 nucleotides) under uncultured bacterium. RNAcentral describes it as "partial 16S ribosomal RNA". It matches the Rfam family "Bacterial small subunit ribosomal RNA", at positions 338 to 795 of the family's 1533-position model. The record is from RNAcentral.